This 584-nucleotide ribosomal RNA is filed under the name Okeania sp. TP3S005. Its description in RNAcentral is "bacterial SSU rRNA". It matches the Rfam family "Bacterial small subunit ribosomal RNA", at positions 167 to 783 of the family's 1533-position model. The record is from RNAcentral. Lineage: Bacteria; Bacillati; Cyanobacteriota; Cyanophyceae; Oscillatoriales; Microcoleaceae.
UCCCGGAUGAGCCUUAGGGUAAAAGAGAAAUUGCCUGAAGAUGAGCUCGCGUCUGAUUAGCUAGUUGGUGAGGUAAAAGCUUACCAAGGCAACGAUCAGUAGCUGGUCUGAGAGGAUGAGCAGCCACACUGGGACUGAGACACGGCCCAGACUCCUACGGGAGGCAGCAGUGGGGAAUUUUCCGCAAUGGGCGAAAGCCUGACGGAGCAAGACCGCGUGGGGGAGGAAGGCUCUAGGGUUGUAAACCCCUUUUCUUUGGGAAGAACAAAAUGACGGUACCAAAGGAAUCAGCCUCGGCUAACUCCGUGCCAGCAGCCGCGGUAAUACGGAGGAGGCAAGCGUUAUCCGGAAUGAUUGGGCGUAAAGCGUCCGCAGGUGGCCAUGUAAGUCUGCUGUCAAAACCCAGGGCUCAACUCUGGUCAGGCAGUGGAAACUACAAAGCUAGAGUCUGGUAGGGGCAAAGGGAAUUCCCGGCGUAGCGGUGAAAUGCGUAGAUUUCGGGAAGAACAUCGGUGGCGAAAGCGCUUUGCUAGACCAGAACUGACACUCAGGGACGAAAGCUAGGGGAGCGAAAGGGAUUAGAU